GCAAACUUGGUCAUUUAGAGGAAGUAAAAGUCGUAACAAGGUUUCCGUAGGUGAACCUGCGGAAGGAUCAUUAACGAGAGAAGUGGGUGCAGCGUGAGCUGCGCACAUGAUGAGCACACAAUGUGUGUGCACAUGAACGCCGUGUCAUUCCCUCCGGGGUAUGGCACAGGCACAUGAACGCCGUGUCAUUCUCCAAUGGCACAGGCACAUGAACGCGUGUAUGUGUGAUAUAUUGUGAUGUGUGUAUAAAAUGGUACAACUUUUAACAAUGGAUCUCUUGGCUCCUGCAUCGAUGAAGAACGCAGC
Molecule: unclassified non-coding RNA, 306 nt
Filed under: uncultured fungus
Lineage: Eukaryota; Fungi
Description: partial contains small subunit ribosomal RNA, internal transcribed spacer 1, and 5.8S ribosomal RNA
Rfam family: Eukaryotic small subunit ribosomal RNA (bases 1-73)
Source: RNAcentral